Molecule: microRNA precursor, 129 nt
Filed under: Chlorocebus sabaeus (green monkey)
Lineage: Eukaryota; Metazoa; Chordata; Mammalia; Primates; Cercopithecidae
Description: miRNA (ENSCSAG00000027491.1)
Source: RNAcentral
GUGGAAAGUGUGGCCAGCCCUGUUUGUGAUUCGGGGUAGUCUGCUGCUGGCCCUGCCCUUUCUCCAGAGCUCCAGAUGGCUCUCAGGACAGUUGGUAGCACUUCCCUACUGGCUGCACUAGGAGACCAG